This 497-nucleotide ribosomal RNA is filed under the name uncultured bacterium. Its description in RNAcentral is "partial 16S ribosomal RNA". It matches the Rfam family "Bacterial small subunit ribosomal RNA", at positions 28 to 507 of the family's 1533-position model. The record is from RNAcentral.
GAUGAACGCUGGCGGCGUGCCUAAUACAUGCAAGUCGAGCGAACGGACGAGAAGCUUGCUUCUCUGAUGUUAGCGGCGGACGGGUGAGUAACACGUGGAUAACCUACCUAUAAGACUAGGAUAACUUCGGGAAACCGGAGCUAAUACCGGAUAAUAUUUUGAACCGCAUGGUUCAAAAGUGAAAGGCGGUCUUGCUGUCACUUAUAGAUGGAUCCGCGCUGCAUUAGCUAGUUGGUAAGGUAACGGCUUACCAAGGCAACGAUGCAUAGCCGACCUGAGAGGGUGAUCGGCCACACUGGAACUGAGACACGGUCCAGACUCCUACGGGAGGCAGCAGUAGGGAAUCUUCCGCAAUGGGCGAAAGCCUGACGGAGCAACGCCGCGUGAGUGAUGAAGGUCUUCGGAUCGUAAAACUCUGUUAUUAGGGAAGAACAUAUGUGUAAGUAACUGUGCACAUCUUGACGGUACCUAAUCAGAAAGCCACGGCUAACUACGUG